GCUCCUCCUUUAGUCCCCUGUCCUGUGGUUCUGAUCAUGUCCUGUUUGUCCUACCCCAGGCGAUGACAGUGCCAAUGGGUCUGAUUCUUCCUUAAUGCCUCCUAAAGUGUGACACCAGCUGCCCCUGGGGGACUGAGCGAUGCAAGAUUUGUCCCCACUCCCACCUGGUGACAUCAGGAGCCCCUGACUUCUCUUUCUGCAGGUGGUGUCACAACGUGUCUGUGUUCCUAUCAGCAUAUCGUGAGGACACAGUAGACUGGCCCACCCUGCCCACCAUGACCCCUCCCCAUACUGAUCCUGUUCCCUUUCUGUCCGCUUUCCUGUUCCUGCAGAGACAGGGCUGGACUGUCUCCAUCCCCGUCUAUAUUUCAUGUUGGGCAGAGUUUGAUGCAUUACUUUCCUACUGAAAAUGAGAAUCCAGAUAUCAAUCUGUGUUUUGUAAUUCUAGGUAUGUGGGGGUGAUGAGGUAAUAAAAAUGAAGAUUUGUAAAGUUGUGACAGUAAAUAAAGCACUGAGAACCUUCCAGAACCAGUGUGUUUGCUGUGCUGAGUCUGUUGCGGGAGCUGUGAUGACAGACUUGAACGUCACCUGUCACCAGGACUGUGUCAAGCAAGAGCUUCCUGUGACUGGGUCAGCCCAGGCUCCAUCCUGGAUCGUGCCCUCAGCCCUAUCUUUUGGGUGUUUUUUCCCCUUGUUUCUGUAACACAUCAGGCCAGUACUUGCUCUUGUGUA
This is a long non-coding RNA of Suricata suricatta (meerkat), 732 nucleotides long. RefSeq lists it as uncharacterized. Lineage: Eukaryota; Metazoa; Chordata; Mammalia; Carnivora; Herpestidae. The record is from RefSeq and is a predicted model, not a curated record. The transcript is spliced from 3 exons.